Molecule: ribosomal RNA, 254 nt
Filed under: uncultured bacterium
Lineage: Bacteria
Description: partial 16S ribosomal RNA
Rfam family: Bacterial small subunit ribosomal RNA
Source: RNAcentral
UACGAAGGUGGCUAGCGUUGUUCGGAUUUAUUGGGCGUAAAGGGUCCGCAGGCGGUUUGGAAAGUCAGAUGUGAAAUCCCACAGCUUAACUGUGGACACGCAUUUGAAACUUCCAGACUAGAGUAUGAGAGGGGUAAAUGGAAUUUCCAGUGUAGGGGUGAAAUCCGUAGAUAUCUGGAGGAACACCGGUGGCGAAGGCGGCAGUUCUGGACUGCAACUGACACUGAUGAACGAAAGCCAGGGGAGCAAACGGG